GACAGAGGGUGCAAACGUUGCUCGGAAUCACUGGGCGUAAAGGGCGUGUAGGCGGGAGAGUAAGUCGGGCGUGAAAUCCCUAGGCUCAACCUAGGAACUGCACUCGAAACUACUUUUCUUGAGUGCCGGAGAGGAAAGCGGAAUACCUGGUGUAGAGGUGAAAUUCGUAGAUAUCAGGUGGAACACCAGUGGCGAAGGCGGCUUUCUGGACGGUAACUGACGCUGAGACGCGAAAGCGUGGGGAGCAAACAGG
This 253-nucleotide ribosomal RNA is filed under the name uncultured bacterium. Its description in RNAcentral is "partial 16S ribosomal RNA". It matches the Rfam family "Bacterial small subunit ribosomal RNA", at positions 524 to 776 of the family's 1533-position model. The record is from RNAcentral.